CCGGCACGGGUGAGUAACGCGUAUGCAACUUGCCUAUCAGAGGGGGAUAACCCGGCGAAAGUCGGACUAAUACCGCAUGAAGCAGGGAUCCCGCAUGGGAAUAUUUGCUAAAGAUUCAUCGCUGAUAGAUAGGCAUGCGUUCCAUUAGGCAGUUGGCGGGGUAACGGCCCACCAAACCGACGAUGGAUAGGGGUUCUGAGAGGAAGGUCCCCCACAUUGGUACUGAGACACGGUCCAA
Molecule: ribosomal RNA, 238 nt
Filed under: uncultured bacterium
Lineage: Bacteria
Description: partial 16S ribosomal RNA
Rfam family: Bacterial small subunit ribosomal RNA
Source: RNAcentral